UACAGAGGUCUCAAGCGUUGUUCGGAUUCACUGGGCGUAAAGGGUGCGUAGGCGGUUGGGUAAGUCUGACGUGAAAUCUCCGAGCCUAACUCGGAAACUGCGUCGGAUACUAUUCAACUCGAGGAAUGGAGGGGAGACUGGAAUUCUCGGUGUAGCAGUGAAAUGCGUAGAUAUCGAGAGGAACACCAGUGGCGAAGGCGAGUCUCUGGACAUUUCCUGACGCUGAGGCACGAAAGCCAGGGGAGCAAACGGG
RNAcentral lists this ribosomal RNA (253 nucleotides) under uncultured bacterium. Its description in RNAcentral is "partial 16S ribosomal RNA". It matches the Rfam family "Bacterial small subunit ribosomal RNA", at positions 524 to 776 of the family's 1533-position model. The record is from RNAcentral.